Long non-coding RNA from Ornithodoros turicata, 206 nucleotides. RefSeq lists it as uncharacterized. Lineage: Eukaryota; Metazoa; Arthropoda; Arachnida; Ixodida; Argasidae. The transcript has 3 exons. The record is from RefSeq and is a predicted model, not a curated record.
GCCAGCCUGAUCCGAAGGACGUGACGGUUCACUCAUCUGAAUUAACAGAGGGAUCAGAGACUGAAGAUGACGAAUAUGAGAAGGAGCAUGAGGGACAUCAUUCUAAAUCCCAUGUGCAUCGAACGCUAAAUCCAGAGGAACGUCUCUUCCUGGUGGCGGAGUCAAGUCUGCGAGAGCUCCUGUCACAGUGUCCUUGUGGCAGCAGC